RNAcentral lists this ribosomal RNA (587 nucleotides) under uncultured bacterium. Its description in RNAcentral is "partial 16S ribosomal RNA". It matches the Rfam family "Bacterial small subunit ribosomal RNA", at positions 355 to 1375 of the family's 1533-position model. The record is from RNAcentral.
UGGGGAAUUUUGGACAAUGGGCGAAAGCCUGAUCCAGCAAUGCCGCGUGUGUGAAGAAGGCCUUCGGGUUGUAAAGCACUUUUGUCCGGAAAGAAAUCCUUGGCUCUAAUACAGUCGGGGGAUGACGGUACCGGAAGAAUAAGCACCGGCUAACUACGUGCCAGCAGCCGCGGUAAUACGUAGGGUGCAAGCGUUAAUCGGAAUUACUGGGCGUAAAGCGUGCGCAGGCGGUUUGCUAAGACCGAUGUGAAAUCCCCGGGCUCAACCUGGGAACUGCAUUGGUGACUGGCAGGCUAGAGUAUGGCAGAGGGGGGUAGAAUUCCACGUGUAGCAGUGAAAUGCGUAGAGAUGUGGAGGAAUACCGAUGGCGAAGGCGAGCCCCUGGCAAUACUGACGCUCAUGCACGAAAGCGUGGGGAGCAAAACAGGAUUAGAUACCCUGGUAGUCCACGCCCUAAAACGAUGUCAACUAGUUGUUGGGGAUUCAUUUCCUUAGUAACGUAGCUAACGCGUGAAGUUGACCGCCUGGGGAGUACGGUCGCAAAGAUUAAAAACUCAAAUGAAUUGACGGGGUCAUAGCUGUUUCCU